Long non-coding RNA from Solea solea (common sole), 629 nucleotides. RefSeq lists it as uncharacterized. Lineage: Eukaryota; Metazoa; Chordata; Actinopteri; Pleuronectiformes; Soleidae. The record is from RefSeq and is a predicted model, not a curated record. The transcript is spliced from 2 exons.
CUCACUUCACACUUCAACCGGCUGUGCAUACAGCAGUUUGAAGAUAUUAAGCAACACUUCAAUAUGUUCUGUAUUUUCAAAUUCUGAUGCUAAUAGCUGUCAGCUGUCUUUUGUACACAUAUGUAUACUGACAUACAUAUGGAAUAUGUUUAUUCAAUAUGUCAUGUACUUUUUUCCUAGAGUCUUUGGCAGAAGAGACUCUUCCACCUACAGAGGAAAAUGACAUCCCACCACUACACAAGAGACACAAACUAUCAUCAGCAGAGGAUGACAGCGUUGGAGCUGUGACACCUGUUGAAGGUAAAUCUACUCAAAAAAGAACAUGGCAGGAGGAAGAGGUAAAAGCUGUUGAAAGGAACAUGAAGCAGUUUAUCACUUCUUGCAUUGUACCAACAAAGAAUGACUGUGACAAAUGUUUAAGGGCGGAGCCUGCAGCUCUUAAGAACCGUGACUGGCAAACGUUGAAAUAUUAUGUGUAUAACCGCAUCACAGCCUACAAAAAGAAAGUCCAGCGUAAUUUGUAAGGUGAUGACAAAUGAAAAGGCUGGUUCUGAUGUUGUAUUGUUUAUUUUCACUGUUGGCUUUAAUUCUGGCUUCAACUCUGUUCAUUAAACAGUGGACAUCUUCAA